RNAcentral lists this ribosomal RNA (497 nucleotides) under uncultured bacterium. RNAcentral's name for it is "bacterial SSU rRNA". It matches the Rfam family "Bacterial small subunit ribosomal RNA", at positions 26 to 518 of the family's 1533-position model. The record is from RNAcentral.
AGGACGAACGCUGGCGGCGUGCCUAACACAUGCAAGUCGAGCGGAGUUAACAAGAGGAAGUUUCGGAUGGAAUUUGUAAUUAGCGGCGGACGGGUGAGUAACGCGUGAGCGACCAACCUUGCACAGGGGGAUAACGGACCGAAAGGUUCACUAAUACCGCAUGAGACCACGGUGUUGCAUGACACAGAGGUCAAAGGAGCAAUCCGGUGCAAGACGGGCUCGCGUCCGAUUAGGUAGUUGGUGGGGUAAUGGCCCACCAAGCCUAUGAUCGGUAGCCGACCUGAGAGGGUGAUCGGCCACAUUGGAACUGAGAUACGGUCCAAACUCCUACGGGAGGCAGCAGGUGGGGAAUAUUGGGCAAUGGGGGGAAAAACCCCCUGACCCAGCAACGCCGCGUGAAGGAAGAAGGUUUUCGGAUUGUAAACUUCUGUCCUUGGUGAAGAGAAGAAGACGGUAGCCAAGGAGGAAGCCCCGGCUAACUACGUGCCAGCAGCGGC